CCCUUUACAAAACAAAAAUCAAACUUCAAAAUUUUAUUAGACAAGAAAAUUUUCACACCAAAUAAGUUUUUAUUCUGACAUCCGAAUAAAACCUAAGACACUAUUUGAAUGUCAGAAUAAAUUAUCCAAGAAUAACAUAUUUGGCAUAAGAAUUUUCUAGCAUUAUUGGAAGUAGGAAGUUUGAUUUGUUAAGUUUUUGAAAGGUCUUGAUAUCCGUGAUUUAAUAGAAUUGCAUAUUUCGCCUAUGAAAUGAUUUAUCUUAUUCUUCAAAAAAUAACUUUAAUGCUGAAUAUGGUAUUUUAUUCUAAAUAUUUAAAUCACACUUCUCAUUUGGACGAUGUAGAAAUUUUUUAAGUAAAUCAAAAUAAUAUACUGAAUAAAAUAUUUAUGCAUCCAAAUAAAGUUUAAUAGUUUUAAUAGGAAUGCUGAGAUUUUUAUCCGAACCUAAUUGAGCAGAUUUAAUCGAUACCAAACUGUUAUAGUUUCAAUUGUUGGAAAAUCUUUCAGAUCUUUUAUUACAAUACUCUUUAAAAAUAACUCGAAAAUUCAAUUUAAGCUAUAGAAAAAUUCCGAAAUAAAAUUAAACAAAAAUAUUGUAAAGAUAAGGUUUAGAUAAGGCCUGUGAAUCGAGGCGUGCAGAGCACUGUUCUAGAAGCGAAAUUGCCCCUCCACGUGCGAGGCUUCCCGGCAAUUACUCCUAGCGAUACAAUGACCACGUUCAACCCCGUCAGCACUCUUUCAAGAUGGUGCAAGAUGAAUCCAACCAGCUUCAGAUCCAGCAACAAAAACUCGGCGAAAAUUAAUAGCGAGAAAGUAGAAAAAGACGAGAGGGUUUAGGUAUGCUCGGGUUAUUAUUAUUUAUAAACUCGUGCAACCUCGCCCCAUAUUUAUAAUCAAAGGCGGGAAUCUUGUUCUAUCGCGUUAAAUCCGAAUAGAACAAGAUAAGUCUAAGAUUAUAUGAAAAAGAUUAGGAUUAGAAUAAAGACAAAGAUAAGGAUUAAAAUAAAGAUAAAAUCGAAAAAUAAAAUCUUAACAAGUUUUAAAUCACAAAACAUCCAAUAACCCAAUAAAAUCCAAUAUUCUCCCACAUGAUUUAAAACUUGAAAUAAAGAAAGUAAAUAAACUGAAAUUCAAAAUAAUUCAAAAGAUUGCUGGAUUUUUUAUACCAUGCAUUCGGUAAAGGUACAUUUCGGGUUUGAACCUUCACUUAGCGCUUGUCAAUGUACAU
Molecule: long non-coding RNA, 1228 nt
Filed under: Ananas comosus (pineapple)
Lineage: Eukaryota; Viridiplantae; Streptophyta; Magnoliopsida; Poales; Bromeliaceae
Description: long non-coding RNA (ACOM_LNC033582)
Source: RNAcentral